This 205-nucleotide long non-coding RNA is filed under the name Capsella grandiflora. RNAcentral describes it as "long non-coding RNA (CGRA_LNC001037)". Lineage: Eukaryota; Viridiplantae; Streptophyta; Magnoliopsida; Brassicales; Brassicaceae. The record is from RNAcentral.
UUAAAAACCCUUGUAAAUCUUUUAAAAGUCAUCUAAAACCUUUCAAAACUUGAGUAAACCUUUUAAAACCAUUGUAAAUCAUUUUAUAACAUUUAUAAACACUUGUAAAUACCUUUAAACCCUUUAUAACCAUGAUAAAACCUUUAAUAAAAAAUUUCGUAAACUUCUAAAACCCUUUAAAAACCCUUGUAAAUCCUUAAAAACC